This is a non-coding RNA of Vicia faba (fava bean), 234 nucleotides long. Lineage: Eukaryota; Viridiplantae; Streptophyta; Magnoliopsida; Fabales; Fabaceae. The record is from the annotation of a GenBank genome assembly.
AUGGAAGGUGAAAUUGAGAAAUUCAUUAAGGUUUCUCUCUAUCUCCCCAAUUCUCUACCUCUUCAUCACCCUUCCUCUAAAUCUCUAUUCCUUUCACCUUGGUGGCCCCACAAUCUUCUUCCUUGUAUGGCUUUCAACUUUCAAACUCAUUCUUUUCUCCUUCAAUCAACCUCCUCUUUUCCCUCUCCCAAACACAAUCUUCCAUUUCAUUUCCAUUGCAUCACUCCCCAUUAA